CCUACGGGAGGCAGCAGUGAGGAAUAUUGGUCAAUGGACGCAAGUCUGAACCAGCCAUGCCGCGUGCAGGAAGACGGCUCUAUGAGUUGUAAACUGCUUUUGUACGAGGGUAAACGCAGAUACGCGUCUCUGUCUGAAAGUAUCUUACGAAUAAGGAUCGGCUAACUCCGUGCCAGCAGCCGCGGUAAUACGGAGGAUUCAAGCGUUAUCCGGAUUUAUUGGGUUUACAGGGUGCGUAGGCGGUCGGUUAAGUUAGAGGUGAAAUCCCGAGGCUCAACUUCGGAAUUGCCUCUGAUACUGUCAGGCUAGAGAGUAGUUGCGGUAGGCGGAAUGUAUGGUGUAGCGGUGAAAUGCUUAGAGAUCAUACAGAACACCGAUUGCGAAGGCAGCUUACCAAGCUACGUCUGACGUUGAGGCACGAAAGCGUGGGGAGCAAACAGGAUUAGAUACCCUAGUAGUC
Molecule: ribosomal RNA, 460 nt
Filed under: uncultured bacterium
Lineage: Bacteria
Description: partial 16S ribosomal RNA
Rfam family: Bacterial small subunit ribosomal RNA
Source: RNAcentral